UACGUAGGGGGCAAGCGUUGUCCGGAUUUAUUGGGCGUAAAGAGCGUGUAGGCGGCUGGGUAGGUCCGUUGUGAAAACUCGAGGCUCAACCUCGAGACGCCGAUGGAAACCAUCCAGCUAGAGUCCGGAAGAGGAGAGUGGAAUUCCUGGUGUAGCGGUGAAAUGCGCAGAUAUCAGGAAGAACACCCGUGGCGAAGGCGGCUCUCUGGGACGGUACUGACGCUGAGACGCGAAAGCGUGGGGAGCGAACAGG
Molecule: ribosomal RNA, 253 nt
Filed under: uncultured bacterium
Lineage: Bacteria
Description: partial 16S ribosomal RNA
Rfam family: Bacterial small subunit ribosomal RNA
Source: RNAcentral